CUGAUUUUAAAAGAAAUUAAAACAUUUUCAUGGGUCCCUCUGAGCACGAUUGGCUCUGAGCACUGUGGUUUAAUUGUGCCAGAUAGAUAUGUAAGCCCUGGGUCUAGGACCUUCCAAAAGGUUAGGACCCCUGUGAAUUUAAUUUUAUAUGUAUUUUUUAUUACUUUUUUUGUUUGUUUGUUUUUGGUUACAGGCUUUAGUUAGUUCUGCUCCCGGUGAAUUUUAAAACGUCACGUUUGUGGCUUUAAGAGAGGCCCUCUUGCAAAUUCCCUGGCGGUCCUCUGGUUCCGACUCUGCCCUUUCAUUGACGAGGGCCUAGGUUCAAGCCCUGCUGAGGGUACUAAGAUCCCGCUGGGUGACUCGGCCAAAAUAUAUAUAUAUAUAUAUAUAUAUAUAUAUGCGCCAUCAUGCUGUCUGUCCCUCUUCCAACCACAAAAGCGUCCCCAAACCCCUCCAGGGUGGCCAUGAUUCCCACUCUCACCCCUGUCCCCAAUUAUCCCAUCCCUUUUGUUUUUUUCCUGGAAAACAUUAAUUAUCCAUUGAGAUGCACUAAAUUGUGGUGCUUUCUCACUAGACUGUGGGUCCCCGCAGACAGGGUUUUUGUCCCUGCGGAGCCCCGUGGUGGUCUCCCGGGCUCGGGCCUCCCAGAGGUCCCCAAAUACGGUCUACGUGGCAGCCGGGGAGGUAGAGAGGACGUCGCUGGGGCGCCUCAGGGACUUUCCCUGUCCCGCUGGGAAAGCGUGAUCUCACCCGGUUCCUCCCUCCUCGCCGGACGCGGAAGAGGCGGGCGGAGGCCGUGCGCCUGGGGCUACAGGCGCGCCCUCCGCGCCCUGCCAUCCGCGGGCAUCGCCACCAGGCCAUCAGGCCACCAACAUCCGCCCCGAGGACCCGAGCAGUGCGGCCGGUCGCCCCCGCGACCCCAGCUAUUUCAGAUUGACUUCUCACACUGUUGCUGGUGUAGUCGGGAGUUGGUAAGUUUCAUUUUUCCUUUUUAGCAUUUUUUAAGUUUUUUUUUUCAAAUGUGGACCAUUUUAAAAGUCUAUUGAAUGUGUUACAACAUGGCUUCUGUUUCACAUCUUGGUCUUUUGGCCAUGAGGUUAUGUGAGAUCUUAGCUCCCCAGCCGAGGAUCGAACCUACACACCUGUCAUUGGAAGGCGAAGUCUUAACCACUGGACCACCAGGGAAGUCCCUCCUUUUAACGUUUUAUAGACAUAGGGCCUGAAUUCAGAAUAGGACACAGAUCCUAAGUAUUGAACUUGAAUUUUCGGAGUGAUCACUGCAUGAAAUAGAACUUAAUGUCCAGCCCCUCUCGUGUCCCAUCCUUCACACUCUAUCAGCUGUUGCCCUUUAUCAGUUAAAAAUUGGAGGUGCAUGUCAACAUGUGUCUGAUUUUUUCUUUUUAAAAUUAAUUUUUAUUGGAGUAUAGUUGAUUUACAAUGUUGUGUUAGUUUCAGGUAUACGGAAAGUGAGUCAAUUCUACAUAUACAUAUAGACAGUUUGUUUUUUUUAAGCUUCUGUUCCUGUAUAUGUCAUUACAGAGUACUGAGUAGAGUCCCCUGUGAUUUUUUUCUUUUUAAGUUACUACACACACAGCUGUUUCUAGGAGCCACUGAGAGGUGGAAAGAAAGUUGAUCCAAGGGUCAAACUGCAAGUAAUUUUGAUAUUUCCAUAAGUUUUGGCUGACUUGGGGGCCCAUCUGAAAGUAAGAUUGUUGUCCUUUUUGAUCCAUUCUGUCGAUGAUGGUAACUCACAUCAAAGGUAGGAGAAAGUAUUCCCUUUGCCUUUUUCUUACUGCUCACUUGUGCCUGCAUUAUAGCAAGUUGUCUGUCUUCCACUUUCCUCCAGGACUACUCUGGCCAUGAGCUCAUUGCAUGGGCUAUUUUAAUUAUAACUAGAUAAAUCUGUUUCUCAGGCCAUGUAACCAGGUCCAUGGAAGCUGG
Molecule: long non-coding RNA, 1941 nt
Organism: Bos grunniens (domestic yak)
Lineage: Eukaryota; Metazoa; Chordata; Mammalia; Artiodactyla; Bovidae
Source: Ensembl